This 510-nucleotide non-coding RNA is filed under the name Pongo abelii (Sumatran orangutan). Lineage: Eukaryota; Metazoa; Chordata; Mammalia; Primates; Hominidae. The record is from RNAcentral.
GGGACAUCCUUUUCUCUCCCUGGGUCUGUGUCUCUGUCGCUACAUCCCAGCCUGCAGGGCAUGGCCCAGCGGUUGCAUAGGUCCCUCCGUUUCUGCAGAGCCCGGGAGUUACCCUAUUUUGGUAAAGGUAAAUUACUCCUCCAUGGGUCGUGAAAGAAGAUCAUGUCAGUGGUGGUGUUUCUGCCCAUCUCAGAAGGGAAGUGUGUGACCCGUGGGGGUUGCUGGGGAGGGCCUGAGCUGGGCCAGGCCUCUUCUUUGGGUUGCCCCCUCACACACUCUGGUCAUCCAGGAAGCCUCUGUGGCCCUUGGAAUGUGUAAAAGAUAGUGGUUUUAGGAGCUGCUCGUUUUGCAACUGAGUGCUGGCGGCUUAUUUCUUGUUAAUGAUUCUGUCAAAAGUGUCUUAGCGAUGCUCUUCAGCCCUUCAUCACCCACCCAAAAAAGAUUAAAGUGGAUUCUUCAUCAGCUAUUUUAAAAUCACCUAAGAAUUAUGCAAUCCUUUGGAGAAUCAAG